This 1495-nucleotide ribosomal RNA is filed under the name uncultured organism. RNAcentral's name for it is "SSU rRNA". It matches the Rfam family "Bacterial small subunit ribosomal RNA". The record is from RNAcentral.
CUGGCGGCGUGCCUAAUACAUGCAAGUCGAACGAGUUCUGAUUAUUGAAAGGUGCUUGCAUCUUGAUUUAAUUUUGAACGAGUGGCGGACGGGUGAGUAACACGUGGGUAACCUGCCCUUAAGUGGGGGAUAACAUUUGGAAACAGAUGCUAAUACCGCAUAAAUCCAAGAACCGCAUGGUUCUUGGCUGAAAGAUGGCGUAAGCUAUCGCUUUUGGAUGGACCCGCGGCGUAUUAGCUAGUUGGUGAGGUAACGGCUCACCAAGGCAAUGAUACGUAGCCGAACUGAGAGGUUGAUCGGCCACAUUGGGACUGAGACACGGCCCAAACUCCUACGGGAGGCAGCAGUAGGGAAUCUUCCACAAUGGACGCAAGUCUGAUGGAGCAACGCCGCGUGAGUGAAGAAGGCUUUCGGGUCGUAAAACUCUGUUGUUGGAGAAGAAUGGUCGGCAGAGUAACUGUUGUCGGCGUGACGGUAUCCAACCAGAAAGCCACGGCUAACUACGUGCCAGCAGCCGCGGUAAUACGUAGGUGGCAAGCGUUAUCCGGAUUUAUUGGGCGUAAAGCGAGCGCAGGCGGUUUUUUAAGUCUGAUGUGAAAGCCCUCGGCUUAACCGAGGAAGUGCAUCGGAAACUGGGAAACUUGAGUGCAGAAGAGGACAGUGGAACUCCAUGUGUAGCGGUGAAAUGCGUAGAUAUAUGGAAGAACACCAGUGGCGAAGGCGGCUGUCUGGUCUGUAACUGACGCUGAGGCUCGAAAGCAUGGGUAGCGAACAGGAUUAGAUACCCUGGUAGUCCAUGCCGUAAACGAUGAAUGCUAGGUGUUGGAGGGUUUCCGCCCUUCAGUGCCGCAGCUAACGCAUUAAGCAUUCCGCCUGGGGAGUGCGACCGCAAGGUUGAAACUCAAAGGAAUUGACGGGGGCCCGCACAAGCGGUGGAGCAUGUGGUUUAAUUCGAAGCAACGCGAAGAACCUUACCAGGUCUUGACAUCUUUUGAUCACCUGAGAGAUCAGGUUUCCCCUUCGGGGGCAAAAUGACAGGCGGUGCAUGGUUGUCGUCAGCUCGUGUCGUGAGAUGUUGGGUUAAGUCCCGCAACGAGCGCAACCCUUAUGACUAGUUGCCAGCAUUUAGUUGGGCACUCUAGUAAGACUGCCGGUGACAAACCGGAGGAAGGUGGGGAUGACGUCAAAUCAUCAUGCCCCUUAUGACCUGGGCUACACACGUGCUACAAUGGAUGGUACAACGAGUUGCGAGACCGCGAGGUCAAGCUAAUCUCUUAAAGCCAUUCUCAGUUCGGACUGUAGGCUGCAACUCGCCUACACGAAGUCGGAAUCGCUAGUAAUCGCGGAUCAGCACGCCGCGGUGAAUACGUUCCCGGGCCUUGUACACACCGCCCGUCACACCAUGAGAGUUUGUAACACCCGAAGCCGGUGGCGUAACCCUUUUAGGGAGCGAGCCGUCUAAGGUGGGACAAAUGAUUAGGGUGAAGUCAUAACA